This 497-nucleotide ribosomal RNA is filed under the name uncultured bacterium. RNAcentral's name for it is "partial 16S ribosomal RNA". It matches the Rfam family "Bacterial small subunit ribosomal RNA", at positions 28 to 507 of the family's 1533-position model. The record is from RNAcentral.
GAUGAACGCUGGCGGCGUGCCUAAUACAUGCGAGUAGAACGCUGAAGGAAGGAGCUUGCUCUUUCCGGAUGGGUUGCGAACGGGUGAGUAACGCGUAGGUAACCUGCCUGGUAGCGGGGGAUAACUAUUGGAAACGAUAGCUAAUACCGCAUAACAGUAGAUGUUGCAUGAUAUCUACUUAAAAGGUGCAAUUGCACCACUACCAGAUGGACCUGCGUUGUAUUAGCUAGUUGGUGAGGUAACGGCUCACCAAGGCGACGAUACAUAGCCGACCUGAGAGGGUGAACGGCCACACUGGGACUGGGACACGGCCCAAGAUCCUACGGGAGGGAGCAGUAGGGAAUCUUCGGCAAUGGACGGAAGUCUGACCGAGCAACGCCGCGUGAGUGAAGAAGGUUUUCGGAUCGUAAAGCUCUGUUGUAAGAGAAGAACGAGUGUGAGAGUGGAAAGUUCACACUGUGACGGUAUCUUACCAGAAAGGGACGGCUAACUACGUG